This 253-nucleotide ribosomal RNA is filed under the name uncultured bacterium. Its description in RNAcentral is "partial 16S ribosomal RNA". It matches the Rfam family "Bacterial small subunit ribosomal RNA", at positions 524 to 776 of the family's 1533-position model. The record is from RNAcentral.
UACGAAGGGGGCUAGCGUUGCUCGGAAUCAUUGGGCGUAAAGCGAACGUAGGCGGCUAUGUAAGUCGGGUGUGAAAGCCCUCGACUCAACCGAGGAAGUGCAUUCGAAACUGCAUGGCUUGAGUAUCGGAGAGGAUAGCGGAAUUCCCGGUGUAGAGGUGAAAUUCGUAGAUAUCGGGAGGAACACCAGUGGCGAAGGCGGCUAUCUGGACGAAUACUGACGCUGAAGUUCGAAAGCGUGGGGAGCAAACAGG